UUCGGUUGUUUGCAUGGCACUUUAGCCGUGCAGGUGGCUGUUACGCAGUGCGGCUUCGGGGAUGUCUCGUAAAAGGUGCAUGAGUGGUGUUUGGUUUGAUACGGGUGGUUGGCUCCCUGCUUGAGCAGGCACGGCCACGCGUACAUUCCUUUUCAGUUGUGCGGCAAGGCUUGUAUUGUCUUGAUCGUAUAGUCGGGUUUCCUGUGUUGCCUACCUGAUCAACGGCAUCGUUUUGAUCAAAAGCGAUACCUUUUUCGUCAGGCGUUGCACUCGCAAUGUCCGAUGAACCAUGUAGCAUCCUCUUUGUUCCCAAUAGUCGACGAGCAUUCGUUGAUUGUUGGGCCCGUUGAGGGUGGCUUGGCCUCUUGGAUUUGGAAGCUAAAGUGGGCAUGGGUUUAUAUGAUCCUUUUAUUGCCCUCGUUGAGCGUUAUCGCUUCUCUUAAACGACCGCCUUUCACGUAUGGCACGUCCCAGCGUGUUUGGCUAUGUCGAAGAGGAAUGUUACCUGGUUGAUCCUGCCAGUAGUCAUAUGCUUGUCUCAAAGAUUAA
This 549-nucleotide unclassified non-coding RNA is filed under the name Aster artemisiaodorum. RNAcentral's name for it is "Aster sp. ML-2022a partial contains external transcribed spacer and small subunit ribosomal RNA". The stretch from base 503 to 549 matches the Rfam family "Eukaryotic small subunit ribosomal RNA", at positions 1 to 47 of the family's 1831-position model. Lineage: Eukaryota; Viridiplantae; Streptophyta; Magnoliopsida; Asterales; Asteraceae. The record is from RNAcentral.